RNAcentral lists this long non-coding RNA (297 nucleotides) under Vitis vinifera (wine grape). Its description in RNAcentral is "long non-coding RNA (VVIN_LNC005461)". The record is from RNAcentral. Lineage: Eukaryota; Viridiplantae; Streptophyta; Magnoliopsida; Vitales; Vitaceae.
UGGGGCUGAGUUUGAGAGUAAUAAAAUUUCCAACAUUGAGUGAGAGGAAAGUCAUGGUUAUUUGAAGGCAAGAUGUUGGGUUGUGCUGUUGUCACAGUGGCUUUGAUACCAAAAAGAGAAUUUGAAAAACAGAAGAAAAAGAAAAGAGUAAGUUUAUAUGUGAACAGGUUGGAGAUGUAACACCUUUAUUUUAUUUCCAGAAUACAGCAUAUAGAGGACCACGUCCUCUAUUUAAACACAAAAAAAACUGGGAUAACAAAAAUAAAAAAACUCUUGGGAUAACAAAAAAUAACAAAA